RNA transcript from Nematostella vectensis (starlet sea anemone), 4426 nucleotides. It is a transcript of the gene named G kinase-anchoring protein 1, with no coding region annotated. The transcript has 12 exons. The record is from RefSeq and is a predicted model, not a curated record. Lineage: Eukaryota; Metazoa; Cnidaria; Anthozoa; Actiniaria; Edwardsiidae.
UUUUGCCCUAAUCUCCCACUGUCACGACGAGCAGCGCCUGACUGUUUGAUAACUCUUCUCAUCAAAAACUUACUCCCUAAAAUUUAUCCAUUAAAAAUUUUCAAUUUCACCGCCGUAAAAUGGCUAAAAAGGCAGGAAAACUAACAGAUUUACCGACUGCAUGUCGGUUUGCAGUUUUAGAUGUUAGUGAUGACGAGGAUAGCUCCGAUGAAUCAAGCUCGAAAACAAAUGCGAAGCCAACAGACACCACGGCUGCCACGAGCAAAAAUAAAAAGAAGAGAAACAGACGCAAAAAAAGCAAAAGCAAGACAAGUGAAGCUACUGAAAACCCUGAAGGAGCAUCAGAGAUCCCUCCAGAACUUCAAGAAUGGCAGAUGUGGCAAAGCAAAGACGAACAGCUAGUGCUUGAGCAGUUUCAGAAGGACUUAAAGGAAGCUCUCCAAGCAAGCAAGGCUGAGAGUAUAAACAAACGGGUUGAGUCCCAGGCUACUUCUAGUAAACCAAAGAAAAAAGAAAAGCCUGUGUCAAUGUCACUGGAUGAGUUUGUUAGUGGAAGUGUACCCAGCGGCCAUGAGAAAACCAACUUCCACACAAAUGGGAACAUAGUUCAUGAGAUAUCUGCAUUAGAUACCUUUUUGGAUGAUUUCAAUGAGCCAGAAGAAAAGCCAGAGAAAAUAAAAUCAAGGAAAAAGACAAAAAGCAAAUCAGAUGAUAAGAUGAACUCUAAGUCAGAGAUUAAGAAAGUCAUUGUCAAGGGCACACCUGAAGAAUUCAUCAAAGCUGAAAUGGUGCACAUACAAGAGAAGCUGGAAGAAAAAGAUGAGGCUGUUACAGAUCUGCACAAAACCGUCAGAGAACAGCAAGACCUCAUAGAACAGCUUCAGAAAGAGCUGGCUCAAGUGAAGAAGAGGAAUAAACAGCUGUGCUUCAUGCUAGCUCAAGGAGAAAUGAAAGAAAAGUCAGAACUUUUACUGCAGAUAGAAGAGCUCAAUGAAGUCAAAGAGCAGGUUGUCCAACUAAGCAAAGAGUUAGAACAGGAAAGAUCAAAAUCCUCCUCUUUAAAACACGAGUUAGCCAAAUUACAGAGCAUGUCAUCUCGGGGACGACAUGGCUCGACGUCAUGACAAAAGCCUGUAAAGUGCACAUGAUUGACAGCUCUCCAUCACAGCUGCGUUCAUCAGGGAGGUGUUCUCAAUUGAAGGCGCUCAUCAAGAAAACUACGUUUAGCACCCUUUCAAGUGCAACUAAGUGUUGACAGUUUUUUUUCCAGUGUGCAAGUCUUCAAGAUUCUUUGACGAACGAUCGCUCUGGGCUUGGCGUUCGCAAAUAUUCGUUAAUACUCCGAGAGGCUCUAUACAAACCCUGCUACCUUGGUAAAGUUGGGUUUCUUUGGAAACAAAACUUUUAAUAUAAAACAUUAAUAUAAUAUCUUAGUUUCCAGAGUAUGCUAUAUAAACGGUUUUAACCGUUUUAGUCAAAUUCGUGGAAACGGUUUAAAAGAUUCAAUCAACGUUUAUUGGUCCAUACUCACAUGCAAUUUUACUUAUUGUCUAAGAUACAUUUUUUUCCUUGUCAAAAAAGAAUGACAGCUGAAAUGUAUCAUUGAAUUGCCGCCAGCGCAAUUCAGUAUAUAGAUAGAAGCAGUGCCUCAACACGAAGUCGAGGUCGUUAUUGGUAAGAAUUAGCGCCAUUUCCGUGUGAUAGAAGCGGCUUGACGCGUACCUCGACACGAAAACGAGGUCGUUAUUGGUAGGAAUAAGCGCCAUUUCUGCGUCGUUAUUGGUAGGAAUAAGCGCCAUUUCUGCGUGAAAGAAGCAGUGCCUCGACACGAAGUCGAGGUAGUUACUGAUAAGAAUAAGCGCCAUUUCCGCAUGAUAGAAGCAGCGUGACGCGUACCUCGACACGAAGUCGAGGUCGUUACUGGCAAGAAUAAGCGCCAUUUCCGCGUGAUAGAAGCGGCGUGACGCGUACCUCGACACGAAGACGAGGUCGUUAUUGGUAAGAAUUAGCGCCAUUUCCGCGUGAUAGAAGUAGUGCCUCGACACGAAGACGAGGCCGUUAUUGGUAAGAAUUAGCGCCAUUUCCGCGUGAUAGAAGCAGUGCCUCGACACGAAAACGAGGUUCGUUAUUGGUUAGAAUUAGCGCCAUUUCCGCGUGAUAGAAGCAGUGCGUAAACACGAAGUCGAGGUCGUUAUUGGUAAGAAUUAGCGCCAUUUCCGCGUGAUAGAAGCAGUGCCUCGACACGAAAACGAGGUUCGUUAUUGGUUAGAAUUAGCGCCAUUUCCGCGUGAUAGAAGCAGUGCCUAAACACGAAGUCGAGGUCGUUAUUGGUAAGAAUUAAGAAUUAGCGCCAUUUCCGCGUGUAAUAGAAGCGGCGUGAAGCGUACCUCGACACGAAGUCGAGGUCGUUAUGAACAACAACCAGACUUUUUGAUUACCUUACUUUACAACUUUACCUUGGUUCACCAUUUUUUUCCCUUACAACUGAAACCCCGGUUGUCUACGAUUAUCUUCUUUUAAUAAGUUAAACCCAAAUCUUGUUAUACUCAAUUAUACCCCCUUAUAGCCAUAUCAACCUAAUAAGCGCCCCAAUGAGUGAUGUUCUAUAUAGUUUUUAAAAAGGAAUCGAAAAAGUAUAUAUAACCUUUCAGAAUUGAUAGAUUUGGUCAUUUUGUGACGUAGAUCGAGAUGUAAAUUAAAUUACAAGGGGAAGUAUAUGCGCCCUAUAUUAGUUCCCGUCUUCAUGUCUUCCUAUUUAUUGCUGAAGAUCGUUGUGUGUUUCGUUAUGCGGUUUUCGUUAUUUCAUUCCCAGAAAUAAGAGACAACAUGGCCGCCACGUAUGCGUAGUGCAUAUACAAUGUCAAAAUGGCUGCCAUUUAUUAUAAGGAAAUGUGGGGAGACAUCACAAUUUAUAGUCAAAAGUAGUCGUUUAAAAGGUAGAACUGUUCGCUGCAUCACAGGUGCAGGACUCGAAAUUGGUAAAUCGACUAUCCUUCCAUCAAAUUGGCCAAUAAAAUAGGCAGUAGCGCCUCCCAAUCUUGUUCCCGAAGAAAUAACAUUUGAUGUAGUUAUGCCUAGUUCAGGAACCAUUAUUGUUGUCUUUAAGAUACAGACUGAAGCAAGGAAAACGGUGCGCUCCGCAAGAACAACUUCUCUCCGGUCGUCCGUUCUCCAUUUUGUUUUUAAACGGCCCCACGGCUUUCUGGGAUAGACACAGGGGAACCAUAAAGCCUUUCUAAAAUAUAUAUUUUUUUUAUUUGCGCAUGUAAUGUUUUCUUAAGCUUCUGAAUGUCACCAGUUCUCAAUUUGCUAAAACGUCACGGUAAAUUGUCAACCUUGUGAGUUCAAAGUAUUCUAUAUUAAGUUUAGAAAGGUCAUCGAGGAACUUUCCCGACUGUCGGGCAUAUAGCCACUGAUUUUCUUUUUUCGCAUAUAAUUCUCUCCUAUAAAUGGUUUUUGUUUCAUUGUGGGUCGCAUUGCAUUGCAAAACUUUUUGUCAAUAUUUUGUGGUAUUACCGUCUUAGAAUUUUAACGAAUUUUAGAUUUUCCCGCCAAAACUUGAAAUUAUACACUCGAUUCAUAAUAUCCUUUCGCGGGGCCAAGAAAAAUUUUCAAAGCUCUGUUGCAAACUCAAAUUUAAUUUCCUUUUCAGAAAGCUCAUCUAUGCUUUCUAUACUUCCUAUAACUGAAUGGUUAUAAAAACUUUAAAGUUCUUAUAAAAGUUCUUUAAAAUGGAGCAUUUCAAUUUUUGUGCCCCCCUUCCCCUCGCUAUGAUGAAAAAAUUGCCACCUCUAAAUACCCAACCCCAUACCCCCCUUCCCAUGAUAAUUUACCCCCUUCUUCCCACCACACUGCCAUGUUAUUAGCAUGUUUGCCUACCUUACCGCCACAAUGAAAAAUCCAAGUGGUUUAUUAGUUACGUAAUACAAUAUCGUACAAAGUGUUCCGAGGGGGGACGGCACAGGGUUUCCGUUACAGUUUUCCUUUUUAGCCAGUUAUCUGCCUGCCAUCAAAAGACAUUGAAAGGGGUAUGUGGAAACACAUAUUAUCACUGAGCUUAUAGCCGAGCCAGCGCGCGGAGCUCCAUGGGUAUGCGACUGAGUUUUUUUUGUCAAUGCGCGGGGGUCCUGUGGUUCUGCCUCGCCUGCCUGCCCGCGCCAACUGUGUAACCACGCUUAGCUGACACGGUGUCGUCACCACUCUAGAAAAACACAAACUUCCAAUAAUCUUAGGAGUGGGAAAAUUAUUUGAGAAACUCUACCACAGUCAUGAAUUGCUUAAAUCAAAGAAUCUACAAUUCUCUCUGAGUCCGCUGUCGAAUUUCCCCUCCAACAAACUGGUUAUCACACGGCGGAAGAUUACACUACCGAUUCACAAAAUGGAAAUGAAAAAAGUCGAUAAAAGAGUCUUUACAAAAAGCCUAAAA